RNAcentral lists this ribosomal RNA (264 nucleotides) under uncultured bacterium. RNAcentral's name for it is "partial 16S ribosomal RNA". It matches the Rfam family "Bacterial small subunit ribosomal RNA", at positions 793 to 1055 of the family's 1533-position model. The record is from RNAcentral.
GUCCACGCCCUAAACGAUGUCAACUGGGUGUUGGGGAAGCGAUUCCUUGGUACCGUAGCUAACGCGUGAAGUUGACCGCCUGGGGAGUACGGCCGCAAGGUUGAAACUCAAAGGAAUUGACGGGACCCGCACAAGCGGUGGAUGAUGUGGUUUAAUUCGAUGCAACGCGAAAAACCUUACCUACCCUUGACAUGUCUGGAAUCCUGAAGAGAUUUGGGAGUGCUCGAAAAGAGAGCCAGAACACAGGUGCUGCAUGGCCGUCGU